CAAAACAGCCACACCACCAUGAACAAGCCCGAUCUAGUCUGAUCUCGGAAGCUAAGCAUGGUCGGGCCUGGUUAGUACUUGGAUGGGAGACCGCCUGGGAGUACUAGGUGCUGUAAGUG
Gadus morhua (Atlantic cod) is the source of this 119-nucleotide ribosomal RNA. The record is from Ensembl. NCBI's taxonomy places the organism in Eukaryota, Metazoa, Chordata, Actinopteri, Gadiformes, Gadidae.